RNAcentral lists this ribosomal RNA (447 nucleotides) under uncultured bacterium. RNAcentral's name for it is "bacterial SSU rRNA". It matches the Rfam family "Bacterial small subunit ribosomal RNA", at positions 227 to 695 of the family's 1533-position model. The record is from RNAcentral.
GGGCUUGCGUCCGAUUAGCUCGUUGGUGGGGUAACGGCCUACCAAGGCUGAGAUCGGUAGCUGGUCUGAGAGGAUGAUCAGCCACACUGGGACUGAGACACGGCCCAGACUCCUACGGGAGGCAGCAGCAGGGAAUAUUGCGCAAUGGGCGAAAGCCUGACGCAGCAACGCCGCGUGGGGGAAGAAGGCCUUCGGGUUGUAAACCCCUUUUCUCGGGGAAGUGACGGUACCCGAGGAAUAAGCCUCGGCUAACUACGUGCCAGCAGCCGCGGUAAGACGUAGGAGGCGAGCGUUAUCCGGAUUUACUGGGCGUAAAGGGCGUGUAGGCGGCUCUUUAAGUCUGUGGUGAAAUCUCCCGGCUCAACCGGGAGGGUGUCAUAGAAACUGGGGAGCUUGAGGGCAGCAGAGGGAGGUGGAAUUCCCGGUGUAGUGGUGAUAUGCGUAGAU